Small nuclear RNA from Cairina moschata (Muscovy duck), 119 nucleotides. Its record names the gene U5. It matches the Rfam family "U5 spliceosomal RNA". From Rfam's summary of the family: U5 RNA is a component of both types of known spliceosome. The record is from Ensembl. NCBI's taxonomy places the organism in Eukaryota, Metazoa, Chordata, Aves, Anseriformes, Anatidae.
GUACUCUGGUUUCUCUUCAGAUCAUAUAAAUCUUUCCCCCUUACUAAAGAUUUACAUGGAGAGGAACAAGCAUGAGUGUCGUGGAAUUUUUUGAGGCUCUGCUUUGGCUUUUUAGAGAU